RNAcentral lists this ribosomal RNA (1241 nucleotides) under metagenome. RNAcentral's name for it is "bacterial LSU rRNA". It matches the Rfam family "Bacterial large subunit ribosomal RNA", at positions 1564 to 2816 of the family's 2925-position model. The record is from RNAcentral.
UGAGUACGAGAUGCUACGGCAUCGAAGCAGUCUAUGUCAUACUUCCAAGAAAAGCUUGCACUGUCAUAAACAAAGAAUGCCUGUACCAUAACCGACACAGGUGGGUAGGUAGAGUAUACUAAGGGGCGCGAGAUAACUCUCUCUAAGGAACUCGGCAAAAUGACUCCGAAACUUCGGGAGAAGGAGUGCCUUAUUCUAAGGUUGCAAUAACAAGAUCCAAGCAACUGUUUACCAAAAACACAGGUCUCCGCUAAGUCGUAAGACGAUGUAUGGGGGCUGACGCCUGCCCAGUGCCAGAAGGUUAAAGAAGUUGGUUAGCAUUAGCGAAGCUGAUAACUGAAGCCCUGGUGAACGGCGGCCGUAACAAUAACGGUCCUAAGGUAGCGAAAUUCCUUGUCGGGUAAGUUCCGACCCGCACGAAAGGCGUAAUGAUUUGGAUACUGUCUCGGAGAGGGGCUCGGUGAAAUAGACUUGUCUGUGAAGAUGCGGACUACCUGCACCUGGACAGAAAGACCCUAUGAAGCUUUACUGUAACUUGAGAUUGAAAUUGGACUUUAUUUGCGCAGUAUAGGUGGGAGGCGUUGAGAAUAAUCUUGCGGGAUUGUUGGAGCCAUCAGUGAGAUACCACUCUUGUAAUGUUAGAUUUCUAACUUUGUAUCAUUAUCUGGUCAAAGAACAGUUUCAGGCGGGCAGUUUGACUGGGGCGGUCGCCUCCCAAAGGGUAACGGAGGCGCACAAAGGUUUCCUCUGAACGGGUAGAAAUCGUAUCUAGAGUGUAAAGGCAUAAGGAAGCUUGACUGUGAGACCUACAAGUCGAGCAGGGACGAAAGUCGGUCUUAGUGAUCUGACGGUGCUGAGUGGAAAGGCCGUCACUCAACGGAUAAAAGUUACUCUAGGAUAACAGGCUGAUCUCCCCCAAGGGUUCACAUCGACGGGGAGGUUUGGCACCUCGAUGUCGGCUCAUCGCAUCCUGGGGCGGUAGUCCGUCCCAAGGGUUGGGCUGUUCGCCCAUGAAAGCGGUACGCGAGCUGGGUUCAGAACGUCGUGAGACAGUUCGGUCCAUAUCCGGUGUAGGCGUUAGAAUAUUGAGAGGAGCCUUCUCUAGUACGAGAGGACCAAGAAGGACAUACCUCUGGUGUACCAGUUAUCGUGCCAACGGUAAACGCUGGGUAGCUAUGUAUGGAGUGGAUAACCGCUGAAAGCAUCUAAGUGGGAAGCCCACCUCAAGAUAAGUAUUCUCA